Molecule: long non-coding RNA, 1016 nt
Organism: Alosa sapidissima (American shad)
Lineage: Eukaryota; Metazoa; Chordata; Actinopteri; Clupeiformes; Clupeidae
Exons: 4
Source: RefSeq, a predicted model, not a curated record
CUUUUACUUUCUGAAGCCAAACGUUUACACUUCUGGGUGGCUGUACAGGGAGGACCAUGUGUAGUGUAAUAUUGUGCUGGUGCUGGGUGGUCAUGUGAUAUGAGGAUGGACCCUUUGUUUAGGGCGUCAGUGGGCACAGCCUUCCAAAUGCAGCUCAUGAUAUGCACAAAGCUUCGGCAAGAACAGUGGCAUCAAACUCACACUGCUCACUUGCACUGCCCAGCUCUGCAGGGUCAAAGGUCACAUCUAGGAUUCCAGAACAUUCUCUCAGGUAUUCAAAGUGUUCAGAGAGGCUUCAAAGAGCAGAGAGGACUCGGACAGUGCAAGGCUGUUCAUACGCGCUACUACUAUGAGACACUGCACAGUCACAUGCACAUUACAUCAUAUGGACGCUCUUGCUGGGUUACUGGACACACAGCCAUGGAUGAAAGCAAUGCAACUAGGAAUAAAAGCUGGAGGCAUCAAACACACUGAAAAAUCAGCGCUUGAAAGAGACAAGCUUCUGAAGAGACACAACUACCCAUUGUGAACUGGGUGAUGUUCUGAAGGAUGCCAACACACAUGGACACACACACACACACACACACACACACACACACGUGAUGAACUACAGGAACACACCCAAUGCUGUGAAUAUAACAGAAUGGAUUUUAAGUGGACUCUCAACACUUUUCAGUAAAAUGCCACUGCCAGCCCUUAAUAAUAUCUCAUGACUAUAAACCAGACCUGGCCCUGAUGUAGCGGAUCAGAGCCAGAACAGAGCCAGAACAGAGCCGGGUGUCCUCAUAAGGGGUGUGGUCGUCUGAAUGAGUCUGGGAGCUGUGUGCAAAUGCUCACACAAAUGGACACAUGGAAGACAUGAUGCCAAUGUGAAGAUUAGUCCACAGAGUGGGUGUCUGCAUGCUCAUCAACACACUCAGUGAAUUGUGUGUGCGUGCGUGCGUGCGUGCGUGAGUGAGUGUGUGUGUGUGUGUGUUUGUGUAUGUGUGUAUAUAUAUUUCUGUACAUGUGUGUUU